Molecule: long non-coding RNA, 343 nt
Organism: Esox lucius (northern pike)
Lineage: Eukaryota; Metazoa; Chordata; Actinopteri; Esociformes; Esocidae
Source: Ensembl
UAUAGAAUAGCCUUCGAUACGGAAAACAACCACAGAACGGAACUUACUUUUAUCUUGGAACCUCGGCUUGGAGAAGAAAUCCGGUUUGUUUUUCAGAAUCUCGUGUAUACUGCGUUCCUUUCCACUUCACAGAUACAAGAAAAAGCACCCAAGAUUCCCUUGGUCGUUUCCACAAACAUGGGGAAUGACACUCGCAACGCACCACUAAUCUGGAACAGCUUAUUAUGGCCUGCAGUUUACCUUGCUUGAGGUGAUGUUGUACACAGUGGCUUGAUGAGAUGGACAGUUACACUUGCAGUUCCAAUGUCAGGUUUGCUGGUAUCCUUGAUUUGUCACAAUGGAC